AGAGUUUGAUCAUGGCUCAGAUUGAACGCCGGCGGUAUGCUUAACACAUGCAAGUCGAACGGUAACAGGCAAAGCUUGCUUUGCGCUGACGAGUGGCGGACGGGUGAGUAACGCGUGGGAAUCUGCCUUAUAGUGGGGGAUAGCCCGGAGAAAUCCGGAUUAAUACCGCAUACGCCCUACGGGGGAAAGCUGGGGAUCUUCGGACCUGGCGCUAUUGGAUGAGCCCGCGUUAGAUUAGCUUGUUGGUGGGGUAAUGGCCUACCAAGGCAACGAUCUAUAGCUGGUCUGAGAGGACGAUCAGCCACACUGGGACUGAGACACGGCCCAGACUCCUACGGGAGGCAGCAGUGGGGAAUAUUGCACAAUGGGCGAAAGCCUGAUGCAGCAAUACCGCGUGUGUGAAGAAGGCCUGAGGGUUGUAAAGCACUUUCAAUUGUGAGGAAAAGCUUUUGGUUAAUAACCUG
RNAcentral lists this ribosomal RNA (464 nucleotides) under uncultured sediment bacterium. Its description in RNAcentral is "bacterial SSU rRNA". It matches the Rfam family "Bacterial small subunit ribosomal RNA", at positions 8 to 470 of the family's 1533-position model. The record is from RNAcentral.